UCUCCUGUCGUACUUUUUCUCGUGUCCUUCUCCUGGAAUAAUCUUCUCUCCUUCCUCGUGUACUACAAUUGAGUUUCCUUUUCUUUUGUUUGCUUCUCUUGGAGAAAGGUGAACCCUCGUGUUACUGUUUUAUUUGAUCUUUGCUCUUAAUUGUAGUUUGUACCCUUGUGGUCCCUGAUGGCUUCGCACAGUGAUACUCUGGUGGUGUUCUUUGGGGCAACAGCUGGUGCAAAUGGGGGUAAACUGGGGUCGGAUGAAAGGGAAUUAAUUCUCUUGGUGUGGCAAAUUGUGGAUCUACAUGAGAAGAAGGUGGGCAAGCUUCAGCGGCGUCUAGUCAAGCCGGACAGUGUGGAUCUUACUGACCAGUGUAAGGAGGAGACCGGGCUCACGGCGGAGGAACUGUGUAAGGCCGAGCCGCUGGAGAGUGUCCUGCAGCAGUUUCAUCAAUCAGUGUCAACUGAACUGAAGUCUUUGGGCAGAAGCUCCUACACGCUGUGUGUGGACGGACCACUGCUUAUCCGACAGGUGCUGCACCCCGAGGCCUCCAAAAAGAAUCUGGUCUUGCUUGAGUGUUUCUACUCAUUCGUGGACUUGAAGAAAGAGUUUCACAAAUGCUGCCCCAACGCAGGCCCCGUCAAAGAUGUCACUCUGCCCUCCAUGCUGGACUAUGUGUGUAUUCCAGCAGUGGUGGAUCAGGAGGAGGCAGGACUGAGUGAGGUGAAGACAAUGGUUUUGCUAAUGCUUCACCUCCUCGCUGAGCCUUAUAAUCACAAAUUCUCCACUUUUGAGACCGUAAACUACAAAUUUGAAUCUGGAGCAUGCAGUAAGACAGAAGCUGUGGACUGUGAGACCAUCAUCAGAGCUCGUGGACUGCCAUGGCAGUCAUCUGAUCAGGACAUCGCUCGCUUCUUCAAGGGCCUCAACAUUGCCAAAGGCGGUGUUGCGCUGUGUCUAAAUGCACAGGGCCGGAGAAAUGGGGAGGCUCUGGUGCGCUUCAUAAACUCUGAGCACAGAGACAUGGCACUGGAUAGACACAAACACCACAUGGGCAGCAGAUACAUAGAGGUAUAUAAAGCCACAGGGGAGGAAUUUCUUAAGAUUGCUGGAGGCACAUCCAAUGAGGUAGCUCAGUUUCUUUCAAAGGAAAACCAGGUGAUUAUCCGAAUGCGGGGUCUUCCAUUCACUGCUACUCCUCAGGAUGUCCUGGGGUUCCUAGGCCCAGAGAGCCCUGUGACGGAUGGGACAGAAGGACUUCUGUUUGUGAAGUACCCUGAUGGACGUCCAACAGGUGAUGCUUUUGUUCUUUUUGCCUGUGAGGAAUACGCCCAGAACGCCCUAAAGAAGCACAAACAAAUCCUGGGCAAGAGAUAUAUCGAGCUGUUCCGCAGUACUGCAGCUGAAGUCCAACAGGUGUUGAAUCGUUACAUGUCCACUCCACUGAUCUCCACUCUGCCACCUCCUCCCUCUCCGAUGGUUUCUAUGCCGGUUCUAGCCAGCCCACCCUUCAUUACUACUGGCAGCAUGCGGGACUGCAUCAGGUUGAGAGGUCUGCCAUACACCGCUGCCAUCGAGGACAUUCUAGAGUUUAUGGCCGAACACACUAUUGAUAUCAAACCACAUGGAGUGCACAUGGUCCUGAACCAGCAGGGUCGUCCCUCCGGUGAUGCCUUCAUUCAGAUGAAGUCAGCUGACCGUGCGUUUAUGUUGGCUCAAAAGUGCCAUAAGAAGAUGAUGAAGGAUCGUUAUGUGGAGGUGUUCCAGUGCUCCACUGAGGAGAUGAGCUUCGUGCUGAUGGGGGGAACUCUUAACCGCAGCGGCCUGUCGCCUCCUCCCUGCAAACUGCCCUGUCUUUCUCCACCAACCUACGCUGCAUAUCCGGCAGCUGGAGCGAUGCUUCCCUCUGAAGCAGCGAUGUUUCAGCCCCCUCUGCUGGCCACUCCAAGAACUCCACAGCCCCCAACACACAGCCCUUUAGCCUACUAUUCUCCACCACCACAGCUUUACAUGAACAUGAAUUACACUGCCUACUACCCCAGUCCUCCAGUCUCGCCAUCCACUAUGAGUUAUUUUGUGGCCCCACCGGGUUCAAUAGCAGCUGCUCUGGCAGCCCAGACAGCCCCUUCCAUCCUGCCUCCUCAGCCCGGAGCAUUGGUGCGAAUGCAGGGCCUGCCGUACAACACCGGGGUCAAAGACAUCCUCAGCUUCUUUCAGGGAUAUCAGCUGACACCUGAUUAGGGGGAGUCUUCAGAAGACGUACGGUCCUGAAGACUACAGCAGCUUGGUUGGAGUGAAUGAUCAGGGCCAGAGUCUCUUUCAGCCUAAAGAGUGGCUGUGUCUGUAAGGGGAGCUCCUGCAGCUCCAGGCGGACUCUGUGAUCAUGCUGUAUAAUUGGAGUGGUCAGCGUAGUGGGGAGGCUCUGGUGACCUUCCCAAGUGAGAAGGCAGCAAGACGGGCCGUGGUUGAACGCUCCAACCUUCCCCUCUCCGGCCACCCCAUCCGCCUGGUCUGCUGCGAGUGACCAAACACGGACCGCCACACCCACCGAGGGAGGACCGCACUUCACCUGUCUCACCUCUUUCUCCCUCAUUACCUGUCUUAUGGCUUUUUGGACCGUUUUCCCUCUGCUCUUGGCUGAAGGUUGUAGUUUAGGAGGGGACCUGACACAGAAACACUAUGUAUAUGUUUAUGUAUAUGUUAAACCCAUGACAGCAAAGUAACAGUGCCUUGCUGCUUGUGUAAAUGUGAGUAUUUGUGAGAGAGCAUUGGCAUGCAUGUUAACUUCUGUUCCUUUGUGUGUCUUUUGAUUAAGAACUCUUUAUUCUAUUUCAGACUUUAUAUUAAUCUAUAGUAAUGCCUUCAGUUUAUACAACGAAAACUUCAGCAGGAAUUGUUCAUUUUGGUGCAACACCACAACAUUUAUCUUGCAUACUGAUAUCAUUCCUGAAACACUAUGCCAUGUAGUCCAGUAAACUAAUGUUAUGCCAUAGUCUUUACCUUGCACUAGGGACACUACAAAAAAGUAUUUUUGUCUUGUUGUCCUGUAAAAUUAUCAAAACAUUCUUAAAACGUGAAUUAUUUACUUGUUAAGCUUAAUGGAAUAAGAUAUUAAGUCUUGUUUAAUACAUAUGACAAAAUGAAUGAACUUUAGAUGUAAAACAAGAAAAAAAAUCUGCCAAUGAGGUGGGCAAAAUAAAAGUAUUUUCCCUUUUUCUUCCCCUUUGGCAAACAGUUUUUUAUUUUUUUAAGCAUACAUCUCACUAAAUUAGAUUUCUCUGAAAACAAGACUUCAAAUCUUAUGCCAGUGUGCUUGUCAAGUAAAUAAAUCACGUUUUAAGAAUGUUUAGAUAUAUUUACUGGAAAACAAGACAAAAAUACUUUUUGCACUGGAACCGCAUGAAUGCUGUUUAUUGCCAUUUAAGAAAAACUAUGACUUAUUCAGCUGAAUUUAAAGUGCAGUGGGAUUCCAAGUAAAGACUACAACUAUUGUUGCAUGUAGAAUUAAAAAGGGCAUGAUGGUUUUCCUAGAGCAGAUGUGCACUGUUGGAAGGAAACAGCCUUAAAACAUAAAUGUGUACUCCCUAGAAUUGCAUGAACUGAUUUUUAGUUUCAUCCGUUCAGAAAGGGAAUUUUUUUUAUUUAAGUAAAAUGAGUUGUUUGUGUGAUCUGCAUGCUUUCAUGCUCGUUCUUUAUAGAUUGAAUUGACAAUUUGGCCACAUUAGAGAUUAUGUGCAAAUAUGCCAUGGUCUCACCUUGUUUUUUGACUCCCAAGAAAAUGCAGGCUACUUCAGUUCUUUUCUACUGAUAGCAGGCUGCUAGGAUCAUGUGCAUUUUUUUUUUAUUUCAUGACUACAUAUUACCCAGAGUGCAAUACAGGCUAAACAAAUGGCACACCUCCCUAGUGUAAGAGGGGGCAUUUUUCCUUUCUUUCUAAAAUGUAUGAAUUGUGUAUGUAUGUGAAUAUGUGACUCUUAUAUGCAACAAAUAAAUUGAUAUUGCUCUGACAUAACCAUGUACCAUAACCAAGUGGUACAUUCAUUUUAUUUAAGUCUUUGUCUUUUAUAUUUUGUCGAGAGUUGUCAUUUUCACUAUGACACAGCACUCUGAUAUGCAUGAUUCUGAUUGGUCAACCUGUGGCCUGAUUGGCUUUCUGUGGUCAAAUAUUUUUGAAUAAUGGAUGUCCCAAAUGAAUCUACAUGCUCUGCUAGUUUUUG
This is an RNA transcript of Xyrauchen texanus (razorback sucker), 4211 nucleotides long. It is a transcript of the gene named epithelial splicing regulatory protein 2, with no coding region annotated. Lineage: Eukaryota; Metazoa; Chordata; Actinopteri; Cypriniformes; Catostomidae. The transcript is spliced from 17 exons. The record is from RefSeq and is a predicted model, not a curated record.